RNAcentral lists this ribosomal RNA (253 nucleotides) under uncultured bacterium. RNAcentral describes it as "partial 16S ribosomal RNA". It matches the Rfam family "Bacterial small subunit ribosomal RNA", at positions 524 to 776 of the family's 1533-position model. The record is from RNAcentral.
UACAUGUGGGGCAAGCGUUGUUCGGAAUUACUGGGCAUAAAGGGUGCGUAGGUGGUUUGGUAAGUCAGUGGUGAAAUCGUCCGGCCCAACCGGACACGUGCCAAUGAUACUGCCGAACUCGAGUGCGUGAGGGGUGGGGGGAACGAGCAGUGUAGCGGUGAAAUGCGUAGAUAUUGCUCGGAAGGCCAAAGCCGAAGGGACCCCACUGGUACGCAACUGACACUGAGGCACGAAAGCGUGGGGAGCAAACAGG